ACAUGAAAGCAGAAGCAACCCGCUUCUCGCCUUAGUGAAGUUAUUCGCUGGGCAUGAUAUCGAGUAAGAACCUGUUCGAUAGGUUCUUUAAUGAUGGCGGGUGCAGUUUGUACCCGCCAUCUUUCUGCUUG
The sequence is a regulatory RNA element, 131 nucleotides long. It matches the Rfam family "Ribosomal protein L20 leader". From Rfam's summary of the family: This family is a putative r-protein leader autoregulatory structure found in B. subtilis and other low-GC Gram-positive bacteria. It is located in the 5' untranslated regions of mRNAs encoding initiation factor 3 followed by ribosomal proteins L35 and L20 (infC-rpmI-rplT). The record is from Rfam.